Molecule: transfer RNA, 86 nt
Filed under: Blautia obeum
Lineage: Bacteria; Bacillati; Bacillota; Clostridia; Lachnospirales; Lachnospiraceae
Description: tRNA-Gln
Rfam family: tRNA
About the family: Transfer RNA (tRNA) molecules are approximately 80 nucleotides in length. Their secondary structure includes four short double-helical elements and three loops (D, anti-codon, and T loops). Further hydrogen bonds mediate the characteristic L-shaped molecular structure. tRNAs have two regions of fundamental functional importance: the anti-codon, which is responsible for specific mRNA codon recognition, and the 3' end, to which the tRNAs corresponding amino acid is attached (by aminoacyl-tRNA synthetases). tRNAs cope with the degeneracy of the genetic code in two manners: having more than one tRNA (with a specific anti-codon) for a particular amino acid; and 'wobble' base-pairing, i.e. permitting non-standard base-pairing at the 3rd anti-codon position.
Source: RNAcentral
UGGGCAUUCGCCAAGCGGAUAAGGCACCAGAAUUUGACUCUGGCAGAGUAAAACUCAUUACGUUGGUUCGAAUCCAACAUGCCCAG